GACGGAGGGUGCAAGCGUUGUUCGGAAUUACUGGGCGUAAAGCGCGUGUAGGCGGCUAAGUAAGUCGGGCGUGAAAUCCCACGGCUCAACCGUGGAAGUGCACUCGAAACUGCAUAGCUGGAGUCCUGGAGAGGAAGGUGGAAUGCUUGGUGUAGAGGUGAAAUUCGUAGAUAUCAAGCGGAACACCGGUGGCGAAGGCGGCCUUCUGGACAGUGACUGACGCUGAGACGCGAAAGCGUGGGGAGCAAACAGG
RNAcentral lists this ribosomal RNA (253 nucleotides) under uncultured bacterium. RNAcentral's name for it is "partial 16S ribosomal RNA". It matches the Rfam family "Bacterial small subunit ribosomal RNA", at positions 524 to 776 of the family's 1533-position model. The record is from RNAcentral.